Non-coding RNA from Urocitellus parryii (Arctic ground squirrel), 1104 nucleotides. NCBI's taxonomy places the organism in Eukaryota, Metazoa, Chordata, Mammalia, Rodentia, Sciuridae. The record is from RefSeq and is a predicted model, not a curated record.
CUUCUCUGCAAAAUCCCUUUCUGGCCAGUCUCCCUGGGCUACCCGCUUGUAAAGGAGAUGUUAUCACCUCCCAGACUUUGCUCAGUGGAUUGCUCCAUCCUCCUUGGAAUCCCUUCUCCUAAUGUUCUUGCCACUACUUCUCCAACUGAGUUGCUGAGCUGUUGAGUGGCAUGCCGUCCUUGGAUGGCUUCUCCACCGACUUCCAUUCUACAUCAUGGUCAUCUUGACUUCGAAGAGCUACAUGCUGAACACUCACAAAUAUUCAUUUCCAGACUCUCCCCUGGAUAUCUCCAGCCAAGUGUCCAAAAGACAUCUCACACGAAACAUGUCUGUGUUAGCUUUUCAUCACUGUGACCAGAAUACCUGACAAGAACAACUUAGAGGAGGAAAGCUAUUUUUGGGCUCUCAGUUUCUGAGGAUUCAGUCUAUGGCAGCUGGCUCCAUUCCGUUGAACCUGAGGUGCCAGAGCUUGCAAGCUAUUGAUGGAAAACAACACCACAGCAGACAAAGGCGAGGAAACAGUGAAUCUCCAAGGUCACACAGUAAAGACUAGCCCCAGGACCAGGACCUCUGCCUCUGCAUUGGUAGAAUCCAGUUAAGGCUGGGACCUCAAAGAGAUCCCAAGGAAGUGAGGCCCCUAAGCCAGACCUCUGUCCCUGGACUGCUUGGUGAGGGCCUGAUGGAUCUGGGAUUCCUGCAGAAGGUUCUGCUGGCAGAACAGAACGCGGGGGCUGGACAAAGCCUUUCACCCUCAAGUAAGUUAACCAGCUGGCCCUGGUUUGCCUAGGACUUCCUCACUUUUUGCAAUGCAAGUCCCAAAUCCUGGGAAACUCUCAUUCCUGAGCAGAUUGAGACAGUUGUUCACCUUAUCUGCAAGGCCUUUUGAACCUGCAAACCUGCUCUGGAUCACACCGCACCUUGCAUAGCUGGAUUCCUGGAUGCAAGGGAGACUUGGUAGCUGAGGAAGGACCCUGAGCCAGUGCCGGGACAUUCCCAUCAGAGUCGCAAGCUGUAUAGACUGUGCCUGUGUCAACAGCACAGAGCUCCUAGCCAUAGCAUGGGGGAGAGUAGAAAGUGCAUUUUCACCUGAGCCUCUAAAAAUAU